CUGUUAUCUGUUUCAUUAUAAAAGUCACUUUUAAUACAAUCAUGUGACACUGAAAAGGACUAGUUUGUGUCCAGGGUUGAAAUCUUCAACUAUAAGCUAUAAAGCAGACUUUGGCAUUGAUGUCUUGGAGAGUACCAUGGAAAAAAAAACCCUAAUAUUGCUCUUCCGCAUAAGUAUUUAUCAUGCGGUUUUUCUCUCUUUUUUUUUUCUUUUUUUUUUUUUUUAAUGUUAUAUGGCACUGUAAUGCAGAUUAUAAUGUCCUCCUUACAAGGCAGCUUUAACACAUAAGAAAUUACUAUGCUAUAGCACUAAAUUAAGGAAUAUUAAGUAAAAAAAAUGGGUAAGCUUAAGUAGAGACGUUCUGUGUUUGAGUAAACCUGAUGAUGAUAUAAAUCAUAACCAGGGAAAAUGUAUUGCAUCCUUUUUCCUUGUAGGAAAGAAACUUGUUUCUUCUGUUUAAGUAACUUGGUAACAGCUGGCUUCAUGUUGCAGUGCAGAGUACAGUAAGUAGAUCCCGACUUCAAAGAUUUUUGUUAUCAGACAGUCUAAACAAUAUGUAAGAAGGUUAGAAUAUUUUUUCUUUUUUCCUUUUUUCUUUUUUUUUUUUUUUUUUUUUUUAAAUUCUGUGUCUUAUUUUAAGUUCAACCUUCUUCCUUUUGAGAGAGGAAAAAACAUGAUUUCAUAGAAUACUGAGUAGCAGAUGUUUGAUAGGUUGGGGUUUUUCUUCCCCCUUUUCUCCUUUUUCCUUCUAUAAAUUGCCUUUUUUCAUUUUUUAUCAUUACAGCUAGUUGUACAUAAUGACUUGAGUUUUCUUGCUUUUUGAUUUUAGUUUUAUUUUUUUGGCAGAAUCUUUGAGGUGAGAAAUAAUUCAAAUAUAUUUUCAAAUAUAUUUGAAAAGUGAGAUGCUUAAAAAUGUGUUUAGAAAGAGUUUUUUUUAACAUGGUGUGGAGAUCCUGAGUUGUUUUAAAAAGAUGAGAAACUUGUCGAUUCCUUUGUACUUUAGCACAACUCAGUGCUAAUAGUCAAAAUAUAGGACUGUUAAGGCAGUAAUAUAUCUUCUUGAUUUUUCUCUUAAGAUUACAGUUGCAGAUCAAUUACAUAUUUAGUUUUGGCUCGGGCUGGAAACCUGCAGCUUUUGACUUAAUAAAAACACUGAAGUGGUCAAUGGAACGUUGCUGUUCCUUCUAUGGUGUGUAAUAAAUUCUGAAUUCUGCUGCACUGCUAAGAACUGUUUCAACUGUGAGCCUUCAUUUCUGGUUUAUUAUUUUUGUUUGUGUUUAUAAUAAGUAGUAGCCAAAUAACUUGCUGAGAAAUCUGAGAUGUGGACCUGAAUAUGAUAAAUACUGUGUAAGAAAUGGAUCACAAUGGGAUCUGUUAAAACUGAAAACAACUGCUAGAGUUAGAAGGAAAGCAUGUCUCAGUCACUUCUGAACUGCAAUUUAAUCAAUCAGAUGUGUACUGAACUGUUGGAAAUUAAACUUGAAGUGUACUGCCAUUGUCAUCAAAUCCUUCUCCCAGCUAUAUUCAACAAGACACAAGGAGAAGAAAAGUGUACAAGUCAUAGACUGGGUGUCAGAUGUGAUGUGAAAUUAAGGGGUUUGCUGUGGUGAUACAAAUAAUUUAGGGUGCUGUCUGAGGGGGAAAGGUGGCAUUUUAUUUUUUUUCUUCAGUCUUUAAAGUUUCUUGAAGCAACUUCACUGUAAUAACUUCGAAUUCACAAAAUAAUGCUGCUUUUUUAAGUCAAGUGUAAGCCUUUUGUUUUUCUGUAAUAAAAAUAUUCAA
Long non-coding RNA from Strigops habroptila (Kakapo), 1782 nucleotides. Lineage: Eukaryota; Metazoa; Chordata; Aves; Psittaciformes; Psittacidae. The record is from Ensembl.